GUUGGAAUUGUAGUCUUGGUCUCUGAACGGCGCUGGAUAACGGGUAAUUCGAUGGAAAUCGAGGUCGCAGAGGGUGACAGCCCCGUAUGUCCGUCGAUCCGGCGUCAUAGUUCAGUGAUUCUUCGAGUAGCGUUCCUUGGGAAUGGAGCGUGAAGUGGGAGGUGAUAUCCUUCUAAAGCUAAAUAUUGGCGAGAGACCGAUAGCGAACAAGUACCGUGAGGGAAAGAUGAAAAGCACUUUGGAGAGAGAGUUAAACAGUAUGCGAAGUCGUCGGAAGCAAGCGAAUCAGUGGGUUUGGGCACGGCUCUGCGCGCCGGGUACUCGGACGAGCGUGUGCUAAUUUCUAUUGGCGCCGCUCGCUCCUGUACGCACCCGGUCGUGGUGUGAGGUUUUGGUGUCCGGCUUCGGCCAGCCUUCUGAUCCGACCCGUCUUGAAACACGGACCAAGGAGUCUAAUAUGUGUGCGAGUGCUCGGGUGUUAAACCCCUGCGCGAAGGUAACCCAAAUCGCGUUAGCCUAUUUUGGCGCAUCGCGGGUAGUGUAAUUUCUCCCUAACAAGA
This 560-nucleotide ribosomal RNA is filed under the name Eucecryphalus aff. cervus. RNAcentral describes it as "partial large subunit ribosomal RNA". It matches the Rfam family "Eukaryotic large subunit ribosomal RNA", at positions 138 to 799 of the family's 3401-position model. Lineage: Eukaryota; Polycystinea; Nassellaria; Theoperidae. The record is from RNAcentral.